Molecule: long non-coding RNA, 1379 nt
Filed under: Gopherus evgoodei (Goodes thornscrub tortoise)
Lineage: Eukaryota; Metazoa; Chordata; Testudines; Testudinidae
Description: lncRNA (ENSGEVG00005018307.1)
Source: RNAcentral
GCCCACCGAGCCGGCUGCGCCCGGGGCCCCGCGGGGCGAGCGCUGGGGACGCGGCAUCAGCGCAGGAGUCCCGCAGGCGCUGCCCAGCGUCGCAGCCCCGAUACCAGGCUAGAUGGGCCCCUGCUCUCACUGGGCCUGGCAGGUCCUGAGCAGCAGCUUGUGCAUCCCCCAGGUGACCCCAUGUGUGUAGCUGGCUUGGGGGUGGGCUUUCCAGGGUUGUGGGGGUCUGUUCCCAUGGGCGGGGCAGUGAAUAUGCUGUGUGUGGGGAAUCUGCAGAAGUGCCCGUCUCUCUGUAUGGGAGCAGGGGUGGAGGAGAUGUGGGGGGCUGGAGGAAGUGGUGACCAAACAGAGCAGAAUGGGGGAGAGCAGCCAGGACUGAGUGUGGGAGUCUUGUUUCAGAGCCUGGACGCGCAGGGAGGUGGCGGGGGGCAUCUACCAGGCAGAGCUGACCCUGUACGGAGACCCAGUGCGGGAAGACAUGCGGGAGCCGAAGUUCACAGCUGCUGUGGCCUUGGCCCUUCCUUCUGCCCUUUCCUGCUAGAGCAAAGAGCUGCCAGAAAUCUCCUUGUGGCUGUGCUCGGCUGCCCAGCGCAGUGCUCUGUAGCCCCAGCGAACCAUCCUGGUCAGACAGUUCUCAAGCUGCACUGGGAAACUAGGUAAGAUGUUUGUCCCGCUGCUCCAGCCCCCCCUUACCCUCCUCUGGUGGUUAGAAACCUCUUCUUCCAGCUUGCAUUUACUCCUGGCCAUUUAUCCCCGUUUGUUUUUGUGCCAAUGCUGUCCCUUAGUAUCAGGAGCCCUUCUUCCUCCCUGGUGGUUUGGGUGCCAGCUGCUUGCUUUACCAGUUGGGAGUUGAGAUUUCCUUCCAGAAUCCCUGGUAAAGGUCCUCAGCAGCAUUGUGCCAGGAACAGAUCCCUCCUUGCAUGAGGGUUCCCCCAUUGGCUGCUGUUCUCUGAGAUCUACUCGGCUGUGUCCAAGAUGUUGGUAUUGCAGACGUGAGGAGGAUUCGCAGAGCGGCCGAAGGGGCUGGGAUGUGCCUGUCUCCCGGUUGGUAUAACAACAAGAACUGAGGGCCAGAUUCUAAAGAGAUCUGGGCACCUGAGAAGUAGAUAAAAGCACCCACUAGGCCCCUGUUGGCUUUUUAGGUGUCCAAACAGCUGUCAGUCUAGCCUGGGUGUCUGAAUCCCAUGAGCUGCAGUGAAUCAGGACCUGCAGCCCUUUGCAUUUCUCUCAGUGCUGGCAUUCCAAGAGUUACUGGUGACUACGACUCCCAGAGUGAGUGUCCCUAUCCAUUAGGCUGCUCUGACGCUGCCCCUUUCCACCCCCUGAGGUUCCCGUUCUCUCUGGCACAGGGACGGAUUAAUCUCUGGAUUUACUCUCUG